RNAcentral lists this ribosomal RNA (465 nucleotides) under Vreelandella stevensii. Its description in RNAcentral is "partial 16S ribosomal RNA". It matches the Rfam family "Bacterial small subunit ribosomal RNA", at positions 338 to 795 of the family's 1533-position model. Lineage: Bacteria; Pseudomonadati; Pseudomonadota; Gammaproteobacteria; Oceanospirillales; Halomonadaceae. The record is from RNAcentral.
CCUAGGGGAGGCAGCAGUGGGGAAUAUUGGACAAUGGGCGAAAGCCUGAUCCAGCCAUGCCGCGUGUGUGAAGAAGGCCUUCGGGUUGUAAAGCACUUUCAGUGGGGAAGAAAGCCUUGGGGCUAAUACCCUCGAGGAAGGACAUCACCCACAGAAGAAGCACCGGCUAACUCCGUGCCAGCAGCCGCGGUAAUACGGAGGGUGCGAGCGUUAAUCGGAAUUACUGGGCGUAAAGCGCGCGUAGGCGGUCUGAUAAGCCGGUUGUGAAAGCCCCGGGCUCAACCUGGGAACGGCAUCCGGAACUGUCAGGCUAGAGUGCAGGAGAGGAAGGUAGAAUUCCCGGUGUAGCAGUGAAAUGCGUAGAGAUCGGGAGGAAUACCAGUGGCGAAGGCGGCCUUCUGGACUGACACUGACGCUGAGGUGCGAAAGCGUGGGUAGCAAACAGGAUUAGAUACCCGGGUAGUC